GGGUUAGGUGCCAGACUAAAGAUCAAUGAUGAAUUCUACUUCUUGAUCUAUUGAUAGCCCUGGUAGUUCAUCAGGGAAUAUGUCUAGGAAGUUUCAAUAACAAAAAUAUCUUGGAUGUAAAUUUCUUCCUUGGGUUUGCCUAUCGCAUAAAAAGGAAUAGUUAAGUUAAUAGCAUACAAUUGAAUUUAAUGUACUAGCACCAUGUGCUAACAAUAUUUAAGAUUUUAUUAAUUAGUGAAAGAUUUUUCAUCAAGAAUGUUAAAUACAAGCCUC
This 273-nucleotide long non-coding RNA is filed under the name Carica papaya (papaya). Its description in RNAcentral is "long non-coding RNA (CPAP_LNC006089)". Lineage: Eukaryota; Viridiplantae; Streptophyta; Magnoliopsida; Brassicales; Caricaceae. The record is from RNAcentral.